GGUCAUGGCUUAGUGGUAGAGUGCUUGCCUGGCAUGUGUGAGGCCCUGGAUUGGAUCCUCAGCACCA
This 67-nucleotide transfer RNA is filed under the name Marmota monax (woodchuck). Its description in RNAcentral is "tRNA.Ala". Lineage: Eukaryota; Metazoa; Chordata; Mammalia; Rodentia; Sciuridae. The record is from RNAcentral.